AACAGCUCAAAUUUGAAAUCUGGCCCUCUCAGGGUCCGAGUUGUAAUUUGCAGAGGAUGCUUCGGGUUCGGCUCCGGUCUAAGUUCCUUGGAACAGGACGUCACAGAGGGUGAGAAUCCCGUAUGUGACCGGCGGCCACGCCCGUGUGAAGCUCCUUCGACGAGUCGAGUUGUUUGGGAAUGCAGCUCAAAAUGGGUGGUAAAUUUCAUCUAAAGCUAAAUAUUGGCCAGAGACCGAUAGCGCACAAGUAGAGUGAUCGAAAGAUGAAAAGCACUUUGGAAAGAGAGUCAAACAGUACGUGAAAUUGUUGAAAGGGAAGCGCUUGCAACCAGACUUGCCCGCGGGCGAUCAACCGGUAUUCUUACCGGUGCACUCGCCCGUGGUCAGGCCAGCAUCGGUUUGGGCGGCUGGAUAAAGUCCACUGGAAUGUAGCUCCUCUCGGGGAGUGUUAUAGCCAGAGGUGCCAUGCAGCCCGCCUGGACCGAGGACCGCGCUUCGGCUAGGAUGCUGGCGUAAUGGUUGUAAGCGACCCGUCUUGAAACACGGACCAAGGAGUCUAACAUCUAUGCGAGUGUUUGGGUGUCAAACCCAUGCGCGUAAUGAAAGUGAACGGAGGUGGGAACCCUCCAGGGUGCACCAUCGACCGAUCCUGAUGUCUUCGGAUGGAUUUGAGUAAGAGCAUAGCUGUUGGGACCCGAAAGAUGGUGAACUAUGCCUGAAUAGGGUGAAGCCAGAGGAAACUCUGGUGGAGGCUCGCAGCGGUUCUGACGUGCAAAUCGAUCGUCAAAUUUGGGUAUAGGGGCGAAAGACUAAUCGAACCAUCUAGUUGCUGGUUCCUGCCGAAGUUUCCCUCAGGAUAGCAGUAACGUUUUCAGUUUUAUGAGGUAGAGNGAAUGAUUAGGGGCCUUGGGGUUGAAACAACCUUAACCCAUUCUCAAACUUCGAAUAUGUAAGAAGUCCUUGUUACUUAGUUGAACGUGGACAUUUGAAUGUACCGUUACUAGUGGGCCAUUUUUGGUAAGCAGAACUGGCGAUGCGGGAUGAACCGAACGCGAGGUUAAGGUGCCGGAAUGCACGCUCAUCAGACACCACAAAAGGUGUUGAUUCAUCUAGACAGCCGGACGGUGGCCAUGGAAGUCGGAAUCCGCUAAGGAAUGUGUAACAACUCACCGGCCGAAUGAAUCAGCCCUGAAAAUGGAUGGCGCUCAAGCGUGCUACCCAUACCUCGCCGCCA
Molecule: ribosomal RNA, 1234 nt
Filed under: Acarospora hilaris
Lineage: Eukaryota; Fungi; Ascomycota; Lecanoromycetes; Acarosporales; Acarosporaceae
Description: eukaryotic LSU rRNA
Rfam family: Eukaryotic large subunit ribosomal RNA
Source: RNAcentral